UACGUAGGCAGCAAGCGUUGUUCGGAGUUACUGGGCGUAAAGAGUGCGUAGGCGGUUUCGCAAGUCUGUUGUGAAAUCUCCCGGCUUAACUGGGAGGGUGCGGUGGAAACUGCGGAGCUGGAGUGUGGGAAAGGUAGGCGGAAUUCCUGGUGUAGCGGUGAAAUGCGUAGAUAUCAGGAGGAACACCGGUGGUGUAGACGGCUUACUAGACCAUGACUGACGCUGAGGCACGAAAGCGUGGGUAG
Molecule: ribosomal RNA, 245 nt
Filed under: uncultured bacterium
Lineage: Bacteria
Description: partial 16S ribosomal RNA
Rfam family: Bacterial small subunit ribosomal RNA
Source: RNAcentral